AACUCUCAACCCCGCCCCAUCUUUAUUGAUGUGUGGUUGCUUGGGCUUGGAUCAUGAUCCUUUUGCUGUUUUCGGACAGCUGGAUUGAAAUACAACAAGCUGAAUCAAUAUACGUGCGGCUUGACCUGUCGUUGUAAGCAAACUUUCGAUGGGGACGCAUGAAAAUUGAACGAGCUUAUCAAAUUGCUCCGCUGUGUCAUCUAAGGCUUUCGGGUUUUAGUAACCAGUGCAUU
Molecule: unclassified non-coding RNA, 233 nt
Filed under: Pseudobensingtonia ingoldii
Lineage: Eukaryota; Fungi; Basidiomycota; Agaricostilbomycetes; Agaricostilbales; Agaricostilbaceae
Description: ITS 2
Source: RNAcentral